UACGGAGGAUCCAAGCGUUAUCCGGAAUCAUUGGGCUUAAAGGGUCCGUAGGCGGUUUGGUAAGUCAGUGGUGAAAGCCCAUCGCUCAACGGUGGAACGGCCAUUGAUACUGCCAGACUUGAAUUAUUAGGAAGUAACUAGAAUAUGUAGUGUAGCGGUGAAAUGCUUAGAGAUUACAUGGAAUACCAAUUGCGAAGGCAGGUUACUAGUAAUGGAUUGACGCUGAUGGACGAAAGCGUGGGUAGCGAACAGG
Molecule: ribosomal RNA, 253 nt
Filed under: uncultured bacterium
Lineage: Bacteria
Description: partial 16S ribosomal RNA
Rfam family: Bacterial small subunit ribosomal RNA
Source: RNAcentral